Long non-coding RNA from Raphanus sativus (radish), 541 nucleotides. RefSeq lists it as uncharacterized. The record is from RefSeq and is a predicted model, not a curated record. The transcript has 3 exons. Lineage: Eukaryota; Viridiplantae; Streptophyta; Magnoliopsida; Brassicales; Brassicaceae.
AUUGGGUCUUUGUUAUGUUAUUGUCAAGCCCGCUGGCGAACACGCAUUCAUCGCCAAUUAGGUUUCUCACCGUCUUCAUCGUCAGCCAUCUUGGAUACAGAUUUCGUUAACUCGACUUGACUAUUCAGUUCGAUUGGGAUCCCAUACCAACACCGAGUACAGACCUUCAUCUUCCAUUUCAGCCUCGACCUUCUAUCUUUCCAAUUUGACGGUUACAGUUAUCAGACCCCAUGUGUUGUUAAUCCCGACCAUCCACUAUCGAUUUUUUUUUUCGGAAGCUUCAAAGAGGUAUCAAACAUCGGCAGCCAUGGCUAUUAUUGAGCACCAACGUUCAGAAGAUUAUGACCCAGGCAACUAAAGCUCAGAUCCAGAUUUGGCUAUUUGAGCAGAAAUGAGGACUUAAGGAAGAAUUAAUGUAAGCAAUCAUAUUUUCUUCUGUGCUACACAUCUGUUGCUAAUGACAUAAGUAUGAACUAUGUAAUUCCUUAGUUAGUUGCCUUGGAAAAUCGAGUUUGAAUACAUGAUCAACACUAUGACUAAC